GUUCAUAGCUCAGUGCUAGAGUAUCUGCCUUGCACGCAGAAGAUCAACUGGUUCAACUCCUGGCCUCUCCA
Molecule: non-coding RNA, 71 nt
Organism: Podarcis lilfordi (Lilford's wall lizard)
Lineage: Eukaryota; Metazoa; Chordata; Lepidosauria; Squamata; Lacertidae
Source: the annotation of a GenBank genome assembly